UACAGAGGGUGCAAGCGUUGUCCGGAAUCAUUGGGCGUAAAGCGCGCGUAGGCGGCCCGGUAAGUCCGUUGUAAAAGUCGAAGGCUCAACCUUCGAAAGCCGAUGGAUACUGCCGGGCUAGAGUCCGGAAGAGGCGAGUAGAAUUCCUGGUGUAGCGGUGGAAUGCGCAGAUAUCAGGAGGAAUACCCAUAGCGAAGGCAGCUCGCUGGGACGGUACUGACGCUGAGGCGCGAAAGCGUGGGGAGCGAACAGG
Molecule: ribosomal RNA, 253 nt
Filed under: uncultured bacterium
Lineage: Bacteria
Description: partial 16S ribosomal RNA
Rfam family: Bacterial small subunit ribosomal RNA
Source: RNAcentral